This 216-nucleotide non-coding RNA is filed under the name chicken gut metagenome. RNAcentral describes it as "Lysine riboswitch". It matches the Rfam family "Lysine riboswitch aptamer". Rfam says of the family: Riboswitches are metabolite binding domains within certain messenger RNAs that serve as precision sensors for their corresponding targets. Allosteric rearrangement of mRNA structure is mediated by ligand binding, and this results in modulation of gene expression. The record is from RNAcentral.
CAAGUAGAGGUUGCGUUGAUCAAGAGUAGCUGCCGGAUGCAUCGGGUGCGAGGGAAGGCAGAAGAAAGGGUGAUACGCCGAAGGAACGGUAUUCCGAGAUGCCGGAUCCUGGGCGCAGGAUGAAUAAUUCUGCGACUGUCAUUGUUAUGAGCAAUUAGACGCAGACGCCUGCUUUCAGGCUGUUUGGCAGAAUGCAGAGACAAUGGGGAGCUACUU